AAUCCUUAGGCUAUCCAGAGACGGGUCAGUGGUUCCGUGUCAUUCGACAGAACAUGGGCGGGGUAUAAGGAUGGAUUUGGUUUCCCUAACGACUCCUACUGGAUUGGAAAUGACGUCAUACAUCAACUUACCAAGAGAAGGAACUCCUCCCUCUACGUCUCUAUCACACUGACUAAUGGGACAAAGCUCUAUGAAUUAUACAACCAGUUUUCUGUUGCUGACGAAAUCAAUAAAUACAGACUUUUUCUUGGCGGACCAGCCACCGGGACCCUGGGAGACAGUAUGUUACACA
Saccostrea cuccullata (small rock oyster) is the source of this 292-nucleotide long non-coding RNA. RefSeq lists it as uncharacterized. The transcript has 3 exons. NCBI's taxonomy places the organism in Eukaryota, Metazoa, Mollusca, Bivalvia, Ostreida, Ostreidae. The record is from RefSeq and is a predicted model, not a curated record.